GUGCUUGCUGUGACAGUGCAUAUACUAAAACUGAAAUGAUAUAGAGAUUAGCAUAACCCUGCAUAAGGAUGAUAUGCAAAUUUAUGCAGCUUCUUAAGUGUAA
Chlorocebus sabaeus (green monkey) is the source of this 103-nucleotide small nuclear RNA. The record is from Ensembl. Lineage: Eukaryota; Metazoa; Chordata; Mammalia; Primates; Cercopithecidae.